GAUGGACGCUGGCGGCGUGCUUAACACAUGCAAGUCGAACGGAAAGGCCCAAGCUUGCUUGGGUACUCGAGUGGCGAACGGGUGAGUAGCACGUGGGUGAUCUGCCCUGCACUUCGGGAUAAGCCUGGGAAACUGGGUCUAAUACCGGAUAGGACGAUGGUUUGGAUGCCAUUGUGGAAAGUUUUUUCGGUGUGGGAUGAGCUCGCGGCCUAUCAGCUUGUUGGUGGGGGAAUGGCCUACCAAGGCGUCGACGGGUAGCCGGCCUGAGAGGGGGUACGGCCACAUUGGGAAUGGGAUACGGCCCACACUCCUAAGUGCGGCAGGAGGGGGGAAUAUUGCACAAUGGGCGAUAGCCUGAUGCAGCGACGCCGCGUGGGGGGUGACGGCCUUCGGGUUGUAAACUCCUUUCGCUAGGGACGAAGCGUUUUUGUGACGGUACCUGGAGAAGAAGCACCGGCUAACUACGUG
RNAcentral lists this ribosomal RNA (468 nucleotides) under uncultured bacterium. RNAcentral's name for it is "partial 16S ribosomal RNA". It matches the Rfam family "Bacterial small subunit ribosomal RNA", at positions 28 to 507 of the family's 1533-position model. The record is from RNAcentral.